GUAAGCGCGCGCAGGCGGUUUCUUAAGUCUGAUGUGAAAGCCCACGGCUCAACCGUGGAGGGUCAUUGGAAACUGGGGAACUUGAGUGCAGAAGAGAAAAGCGGAAUUCCACGUGUAGCGGUGAAAUGCGUAGAGAUGUGGAGGAACACCAGUGGCGAAGGCGGCUUUUUGGUCUGUAACUGACGCUGAGGCGCGAAAGCGUGGGGAGCAAACAGGAUUAGAUACCCUGGUAGUCCACGCCGUAAACGAUGAGUGCUAAGUGUUAGAGGGUUUCCGCCCUUUAGUGCUGCAGCUAACGCAUUAAGCACUCCGCCUGGGGAGUACGGUCGCAAGACUGAAACUCAGAGGAAUUGACGGGGGCCCGCACAAGCGGUGGAGCAUGUG
This 384-nucleotide ribosomal RNA is filed under the name Bacillus sp. (in: firmicutes). Its description in RNAcentral is "bacterial SSU rRNA". It matches the Rfam family "Bacterial small subunit ribosomal RNA", at positions 561 to 943 of the family's 1533-position model. The record is from RNAcentral. Lineage: Bacteria; Bacillati; Bacillota; Bacilli; Caryophanales; Bacillaceae.